CAAAAAUGUUCAAACCAUGAUGAAAGUUCAUGUAAACUAUUUCUCCCUUUUGGGAGUACAAGACAGUAUGCGACAUUAUGUCAGUCAGCCUCAGUUUACAACAGUCAAUGUUCUGUUGAACCUUAAAAAAACAUGCAUUUAAUUAUAUCUGCGCAAAAAUGCAACACUCUUUGAUACAUCAUUUAUUAUGUAAUUGGUCAUUUUCAGUUACAAUGAACAGCCGAUAUGCAAGAUACAGUAGUUGUCUUAAACUCAAAAGGUAUUACAUCCAAUGAAUUUCAUUUCAGCAGGGAGCCAAGGCAAUAAGACUUGUUGAAAUAGCACAGAGCUAAUUUAGACUUUAUAAUAAUUAUGUAACACUCCAUAAUUAUAUAUAUAUAAAAACGCCCAUGCACCCAUCCGCUGAGCCAAUCCAUACAUGUCCCUGAGAGGCUGUGUGCCUGAGCUAGUGCAUGUUUUCACUGUCAGAAGUUCCUAGUCUCUGGUUUCAGGAACAGAAGCGGCUCUUGAAUAGUGUGUGACUGCCUGGUGACGCAGAGAAUAGAACAACAUACAACUAUUACAUACAUAUCCUAACACCAGCCCACUUACCAUGACAGCUACUGAAAUCCAAACAAAGGUGACAUCACUUUAAGAACAAACUGUUCAUCACUUUGUUGGAAAAACAAGGACUAAUGGACAAGGGGGUCAACACUUGAUACCCUUUUGACUAUUAGAAAAAAUGUUUUCCCCUGUGACAAUAAUCCUUAAAAGGCUAUGUGAGUCUCCCACAUCAGUGAUCAUGGGUACACACCUAAUAAUAAAUAAAUAAAAUAUCAGUUACACUGGCAAAACCAUUUAAUUUAUAAAAACAAUAGAAAAACUACUUAAAUGAAAUGUACAUAUUCUUUACAUAAUUAGAAAGCACUGUCCAUGAGCUGCCACUUAUGUAAUCAAGAUGUGUGGUCAUUCAUAAACCUUUAGAAAACAUACACCCAACCGUAUAUACAGCACGACACACAAUAUCAAAUAGCAUUUAAAGAAAGUGCUAAUAUUAGUCUUUAAAAUGAGAUGCAAAUAUCUUUGCUAUUCUCUUGGUCUCUUCUUUCUUCAUGGACGACGGUGGUAUAUUGGGCCUGGGACGAGGAACGCGCCGACAGAGAAUCCCAUGUCUAAGAGAGCUCUUUUU
This is a long non-coding RNA of Oncorhynchus tshawytscha (Chinook salmon), 1168 nucleotides long. The record is from Ensembl. NCBI's taxonomy places the organism in Eukaryota, Metazoa, Chordata, Actinopteri, Salmoniformes, Salmonidae.